Molecule: small nucleolar RNA, 139 nt
Organism: Tachyglossus aculeatus (Australian echidna)
Lineage: Eukaryota; Metazoa; Chordata; Mammalia; Monotremata; Tachyglossidae
Source: RefSeq, a predicted model, not a curated record
CUCUUCUCAGGAUCACAACUGGAGAGUUUCCAGUACUCUGCCAGUCUUGGCCAAGGGAGGGAGAGUCAAGUAGAAGCAUAUCCUGUUCCAUUCCUAGCUUGGACAGUGGCUAAUGAGUGGAAAGCAAUCUGCUACAAGU